UUUACUUUUUAAACAUUUUUUGCGCGAAAGUUACACUCAAUAACAAACGUUACUAGUUGGAAAAAAUUAUUGUAUUUACUAAUAAAAAAAUAAGUUAAUAAAUAAAUAUGUUUUGUUUAAAGUAUAGACAAUUAUUACCAAAGGAUAUUAUCGUCCGUAAGAUGGCAACUGUUAAAAGGUUUUAUAGAAGAACGAAUAUAUUACAAAGUGGAGAAAAAUAUGAAAUAACAUUGGAUCAACGUAAACUCAAGACACCCAAAGGGCGAGUAUUUGAAGUUUCCAGCAAACCAUUGGCAUUAGCUGUUGCCCACGAAUGGGAUAGUCAAGAGGAUAUUAUUCAACGAAGUAAUAUGCAUAUGACAGCUCUGUGUAGCACUUUUUUAGACAACCCACAAAAUUUAAAUAGCAUUGAUAUUGUUACUUACAUUGCUAAUUAUUUAGAAACUGAUACAAUUUUAUAUCAAUCAAGUGAAACAGAGGAAUUAUUUAAACUCCAAAAGGAAAAAUGGGACCCAAUUAUACAAUGGUUUUGCGAUAAGUAUCAAGUAGAUGUUGAAAAAACAACAAGUAUAAGUUCUCCGGUUAUUCCUAGUGAUACAAAAGAAAAAAUUGUAAGACAUGUUGCCUCUUAUAAUGCUGCAUCUCUUCAUGGAUUCAUGUACGGCGUUGAUGUAUUAAAAUCAGUAAUUCUAAUGCUUGCUUUAUGUGAAAGAGCUUUAAAUGUUGAAGAAGCUAUCGCUUUAUCAAGAUUAGAAGAAGAAUUUCAGAUUUCACAUUGGGGUAAUGUGGAAUGGUCUCAUGAAUUAGGUAAACAAGAUUUACAGGCACGAUUGGCAGCCGCAGUAUUAUUUAUUCAUUUAAAUUCAUCGUCGGCUACUACGAAACCCAAAAUCGAUAGUACAUAAAUUAAUCACAAUUAUAUUUAAGGAUAAUAAAUAAAAAAUAAUUUUUUUUUUUUUUUCCACUGACAAGAUGGAUUUGAAGACGAGCACGAUACUGCAG
Cotesia glomerata is the source of this 1002-nucleotide RNA transcript. It is a transcript of the gene named ATP synthase mitochondrial F1 complex assembly factor 2, with no coding region annotated. NCBI's taxonomy places the organism in Eukaryota, Metazoa, Arthropoda, Insecta, Hymenoptera, Braconidae. The transcript is spliced from 7 exons. The record is from RefSeq and is a predicted model, not a curated record.